Molecule: long non-coding RNA, 469 nt
Filed under: Ananas comosus (pineapple)
Lineage: Eukaryota; Viridiplantae; Streptophyta; Magnoliopsida; Poales; Bromeliaceae
Description: long non-coding RNA (ACOM_LNC044889)
Source: RNAcentral
ACAAUAUAUAUAUAAAAUUAUCAAUUUUGAGAUAUUUUAGUUACUGGUCAAAUAAUAUUAAAAAAUUUUAAAUUUUAAUUUUCAAAUACUUUUAAUAGUAUAGAUUAAGUGUAACGGAACCGAUCGUCGAUUUAAAAGCCGCAUCAUCGAAAACAACUUGGUAGUAUAGCAACCGGACAAUAUAUAUAUAUAUAUAUAUAUAUAUAGAGAGAGAGAGAGAGAGAGAGAGAGAGAGAGAGUUCUAUUACUAUAUAUAUUAUCGAUAGUGAUCAAAUGUUUUGUGCUAUCGAAUUUUUUGUUAUUAAAUUUAUCUCUUUGACUAAUUUUAUCUAUUAUAUUAUACUAUUAAACUAAUCAUUCACUCAAUUUUAGAUAAUCACUAUUAUUCUAAACGCGCAUCUUUUCAUCUAAGAAUCAAAAAUCGCUUAGUACUAUAAUAGUAUAGUAGUCUAAUUAUAUAUAUAUAUAA